GAUGAACGCUAGCGGCAGGCCUAAUACAUGCAAGUCGAACGGAUAUAUGUUUUUCGGAAUAUAUAUUAGUGGCGCACGGGUGAGUAACACGUACAUAACUUGCCCUCAAGCGGGGGAUAGCCUUGGGAAACUGAGAGUAAUACCCCAUAGAAUUAUUGGACGGCAUCGUUUGAUAAUUAAAACUACGGUGCUUGGGGAUAGAUGUGCGUCUGAUUAGCUAGUUGGUGAGGUAACUGCUCACCAAGGCGACGAUCAGUAGGGGGCGUGAGAGCGUGGCCCCCCCACACGGGUACUGAGACACGGACCCGACUCCUACGGGAGGCAGCAGUAAGGAAUAUUGGUCAAUGGACGGAAGUCUGAACCAGCCAUCCCGCGUGCAGGAUGACUGCCCUAUGGGUUGUAAACUUCUUUUAUCUGGGAAGAAAAGCCGGCAUUUAUGUUGGUCUGACGGUACCAGAGGAAUAAGCACCGGCUAACUCCGUGCCAGCAGCCGCGGU
This 497-nucleotide ribosomal RNA is filed under the name uncultured bacterium. RNAcentral's name for it is "bacterial SSU rRNA". It matches the Rfam family "Bacterial small subunit ribosomal RNA", at positions 28 to 521 of the family's 1533-position model. The record is from RNAcentral.